AUACAGCCGUACAACCCUGGUCGUGCUCUAUCUCAUCUGAUCUCAGAAGCUAAACAGGGUUAGGUCUGGUUAGUACUUGGAUGGGAGGUAGGAAUGGGACAAAACCUGGCUGCUCAGAACC
Pongo abelii (Sumatran orangutan) is the source of this 121-nucleotide non-coding RNA. Lineage: Eukaryota; Metazoa; Chordata; Mammalia; Primates; Hominidae. The record is from Rfam.